RNAcentral lists this non-coding RNA (309 nucleotides) under Erythranthe guttata (spotted monkey flower). Its description in RNAcentral is "Mimulus guttatus (spotted monkey flower) Bacterial small subunit ribosomal RNA". It matches the Rfam family "Bacterial small subunit ribosomal RNA", at positions 76 to 390 of the family's 1533-position model. The record is from Rfam by way of RNAcentral. Lineage: Eukaryota; Viridiplantae; Streptophyta; Magnoliopsida; Lamiales; Phrymaceae.
UAUUUCUUUGCAAAAUUGUGCUCAGGACCGAUGAGUAACGCGCAUAAGAACAUGCCCUUGGGAGGGAAACAAUAGCUGGAAACGGCUGCUAAUACCUCCGUAGUCUUAGGAGCAAAAGGAGGAAUCCACCUGAGGAGGGGCUUGGGUCUGAUUAGAUAGUUGGUGAGGCAAUAGCUUACUAAAGUGAAGAUUGUAGCUAGUCCGAGAGGAUCGGAUGAUCAGCCACACUGGGACCGAGAUACGACCCAGACUCCAAUGGAAAGCAGCAAAGGGGAAUUUUCACCCAUUCAUGAUUGACUAAUUGAGAGA